UUUGUAUAAAUGUUGUAAAAUUGUAUGUAUCCAGUACUAUUUAAAACAAAACUAACUGUGCUAAGAUCGACAAUAAGUCUCGCAGGAAUUAAUACAAUAGAUCUUUGGACGAUGAAGCAACAUCCCGCAUCUAAAGUUUUAUAUCACUAAUAUCAGUUUUCUUUAAGGAUUUACAAUAAUAAGAUCUGUUACAAUCAGAAUAUAGUUAGUUGUCAAACCUGUUAUGCUAAUUCUACAAUGAAUCGGAAGUCUUAGUCAGUAAAGUUGACCAAUAGCCAACUUGUAAGAAUAACUGAUUGAUCAAAUUCAUCCAUUAAGAUUAAUAUGGUUCCUUUUACAAUGAAUCAUAAGUCAUAAAUCAGAAGUCAGAAACUAAAAAUUGACUACUGUGAUUGGUUUAUUUCUAACUUACGACUUAUAAUUUAUGACCUAUGGCUUAUUGUAGAAGGCCCAUAAGACUACCGACUCAUUGUAAAAUCAGUAUUAUAUUAACUUGAAUUUUCACGAUGAAAUUUUUAUCAUUGUCUAAAGUCGAUACAGCAACACAUUGUAUGCUUUCUAACAAGCGAUGCGACACAAUGAUCAUGUCAUCUUUGUUUAACAUUGGCAAACAACAAGGAUGUAAUGAUCCAUUAUGUCAUUUGUGUCGCUUGUUGGAAGGCACACAUAAUUAUCCGGUACGAUAGUGAAAUGUUUAAUAGGAACCGGUAAUGAACCGUGGAAGGAAUGACUUAUAUUCCUUUCUUUUUACAAUCAUAUACCGCCGUCGUUUCUUUUUACAAUCAUUCCACCGCUUUUAUUCACCGGUGAAUUGUUUAGCUCGAGGUUAAACGUGAGCAGUGAGGUGAAAUUGAGACAAAGACAUAGAGAAUGGACUGCGCAAUCCUUAUCUAAGUAGUAUUCAAAUAUGGUCGACAAUAAUAAGAGAGAGGGACCGUGGAAGACGGCCAAUUUCCCUCUCAUUCUCUCUCCCAUUCUCUCUCCCAUUGAAUGGAAAGAUGGCCGUCUUCCACGAUCCCUCUCUCUUAUUUUUAUCAACCAUUUUGACACAUGGAUCUUGCAAUCCAUUUUCUAUGUCUUUGAAUUGAGAUGACACACACGCCACACGGAAGCCGUUCGGGAACAUUCACCACCCAAAAACACACGAUAUUCCCACUACUUCUUCACUGAAGUCAUCGAAACACACCAACAAGUGAUGUUUCUGAACGCAGCCCAGUAAGGUAAUGUAGUGUAGGCCCUGCCUUAGACGCUUAGAAUGAAUUUAGAUUGAUGUUCUAUUUAAGGUGGCUGUGAUGCUCACGCGAACGAGUCCCGUUGGACUUCUGAUGGCAAGUCGCCACACUCUCAACAUCGAUAAACUGUCACUCACAGGGUGUAUUCCUUUACAUAGCGAUUAGCACAGAGAAUAUCAUUUUACCCUGAAGAUUUAUAUGAAUAGACUGCUGACUCAAUGUGAUAGAAAGGGAUGAACCUGAUUCCAAGCUGUCCUUGUUUCAGUUUCCAUGUGUGAGAACCUAACUGGAUGAGGGAAAGGCACCCAGGAGCUGGUCUCUUGAUUGCGCAGAAUUUGAUGAGUCUGCGUCCCUCCUAUACGGAAGAACAGCGGAUAUCAACCUACCUGCUAAAAAACUCUGCGUAUUCAGCACUUCUGCAAAACCAUAUUGGGCACACCUCGGAAUCGCCUACCCGGCGGCACUUCAUCAAGGUGCAUCCAAGUCCAGGCCUGACGCUCCCACUCGGCCCGCUCCUUCUUGCGCAUGACAACCUCGCAGAAAUCUGCGAGAGCCGUCCACGCAGCGGGGCACAUAGCCGCCUGCCAUAUGUCCUGUCAAGGACAUCGAGCCCCAACCGCUGAACAAAAAGUGACGUCCUCUCCGCGGUCCAAGAUGGGCAACACAACACGUGUGCAUCGCUGUAGUCGCACGACAAUGCGCACAAAUCGGCGACGCGUUACGCUGUAUCUCAAAAAGAUAGGCCUUAUGCACUCAUGACCCAUUAAAAUCUGGAUCAUGCGGAUUGUAUGAAUAUACUAAAAAUAAAGAAUUGGGCCCCUCUAUCGCUCAUUCUCGUGAGAGUGCAAUCACA
This 2085-nucleotide long non-coding RNA is filed under the name Acromyrmex echinatior (Panamanian leafcutter ant). Its description in RNAcentral is "uncharacterized LOC105144018, transcript variant X1". The record is from RNAcentral. Lineage: Eukaryota; Metazoa; Arthropoda; Insecta; Hymenoptera; Formicidae.